CGAGUAGGGAGGGGCAUCGCCGGUCUCCGAGAUCGGAGGAAGGUCCGGACACCAUGGGGCACCGUAGCGGGUAACGCCCGUCCACUGCGAAGUGAGGACUAGUGGAACAGAGACGAGCCGGUUGAGUCCGGUUGAAACGGCCAAACUCUACGGGGUGCAAGCUCAAAUAGGCAUACGUUUGACCCUCGCCUUGGGGAGUAUGCGGGUAGAGUGCUGGAGGAUUUGGGUAACGAAAUCCCUAGAUGAAUGAUGCCAUCCUUUUCCCUUGGGGAAGAGGGAACAGAAUCCGGCCUACUCCCCUGCUCGGUUU
Molecule: RNase P RNA, 310 nt
Filed under: Bacteriovoracales bacterium
Lineage: Bacteria; Pseudomonadati; Bdellovibrionota; Bacteriovoracia; Bacteriovoracales
Description: RNase P RNA component class A
Rfam family: Bacterial RNase P class A
About the family: Ribonuclease P (RNase P) is a ubiquitous endoribonuclease, found in archaea, bacteria and eukarya as well as chloroplasts and mitochondria.
Source: RNAcentral